Molecule: ribosomal RNA, 253 nt
Filed under: uncultured bacterium
Lineage: Bacteria
Description: partial 16S ribosomal RNA
Rfam family: Bacterial small subunit ribosomal RNA
Source: RNAcentral
UACGAAGGGGGCUAGCGUUGCUCGGAAUCACUGGGCGUAAAGCGCGCGUAGGCGGCUUUCUAAGUCAGGGGUGAAAUCCUGGAGCUCAACUCCAGAACUGCCUUUGAUACUGGGAAGCUCGAGUCCGGAAGAGGUGAGUGGAACUCCGAGUGUAGAGGUGAAAUUCGUAGAUAUUCGGAAGAACACCAGUGGCGAAGGCGGCUCACUGGUCCGGUACUGACGCUGAGGUGCGAAAGCGUGGGGAGCAAACAGG